CUAGGGUUGGCUGCAGCCAGGGUUUCAGGGGUGUGUUGUGACUCCACUGUGCCAGGUGGCCCAGAUUUGGAGGUCAAAGACUGCAGUCCAAAGUCAAGUUCAAGGAGCCAGGAAGAGCAACAAGAGAAAGGACUGGCAAAAAAGAACUUGCAGAAGUGAGAAUACAGGUCAGGAGUCCCUGAAGAGUCCCAGAAGCAACAGAACGGCUUUGGAGCCAAGCUGGGCCAUGGAUCACACAGCUGAGGAGACUGACACUCAGAUGGCCCUGAAUGAGAGCUCCAGACCCUGCAGCUGGCCAUGCAGAGGUUUGGGCCAGAAAUAACUUCACCUCCCUGCACCUAUUUGCUCGAUCCUGUGAAUGUUUGCCAGAUUCAGCAGAGAGCCCUGCACCAGCAAGAAGGCCUUCACCAGAUGCUGCUUCUCAGCCUUGAACUUUCCAGCCUUCAGAACCAUGAGCCAAAUAAACCUCUUUUUCCUAUAGAUUUCCCAGUCUUUGGUAUUCUGUUGUUUGUUUUUUGAGACAAGGUCUCACUAUGUAGUUCUGGCUGGCCUUGAACUCAUGGCAAUCCUCCUGCCUCAGCCUCCCUAGUGCUGGGAUUACAUAUAUGUUAUACCAACAGAAAAUGAAUUAACACAAUGAC
RNAcentral lists this long non-coding RNA (641 nucleotides) under Heterocephalus glaber (naked mole-rat). Its description in RNAcentral is "lncRNA (ENSHGLG00000042441.1)". Lineage: Eukaryota; Metazoa; Chordata; Mammalia; Rodentia; Bathyergidae. The record is from RNAcentral.